GUACAUGAAUUAUAUUGGAAAAGCUAAUAUUAUAAUUUAGAACAAAAAGCAACUAGUGAUAACACCUAACACUAACUCUCGUUAUGGUCACGGUGGCUUGGUGCUUACUUGUCCACAAUACAUAUCAUCAAGUCCUGCUUUCAAGAAGUCUUGGUACAUGAAAGAUACAGGAACCUUGAAUCAAACGCAUCCUUUGCUAGUUUGCUUUGAAUAGAAGUAUUCUAAAAUACCUCUCUUUUAUUAUAUGCUUAGAUCUUAUUUUCACAAUUAAUAUACAAAAUAUUCUGAAGUUGUUUUUUUUUUUCUUUUAACUUCAUUUAUUUGAGAGUUCAUUAUUUAUUUCAAUCACAGAUUAACUAAUCACCCACAAAAUUAAUUAAUAUUCAUUUAC
RNAcentral lists this long non-coding RNA (391 nucleotides) under Citrus x clementina. RNAcentral's name for it is "Citrus clementina (C. clementina) long non-coding RNA (CCLE_LNC001424)". Lineage: Eukaryota; Viridiplantae; Streptophyta; Magnoliopsida; Sapindales; Rutaceae. The record is from RNAcentral.